This 69-nucleotide transfer RNA is filed under the name Ictidomys tridecemlineatus (thirteen-lined ground squirrel). RNAcentral's name for it is "Spermophilus tridecemlineatus (thirteen-lined ground squirrel) tRNA". It matches the Rfam family "tRNA". Rfam says of the family: Transfer RNA (tRNA) molecules are approximately 80 nucleotides in length. Their secondary structure includes four short double-helical elements and three loops (D, anti-codon, and T loops). Lineage: Eukaryota; Metazoa; Chordata; Mammalia; Rodentia; Sciuridae. The record is from Rfam by way of RNAcentral.
GGUGUUGUGGCUCAGUGGUAGAGCACUUGUCUCAUAUGAGUGGGGCACUGGGUUCGAUCCUCAGCACCA